This 598-nucleotide ribosomal RNA is filed under the name uncultured bacterium. RNAcentral describes it as "bacterial SSU rRNA". It matches the Rfam family "Bacterial small subunit ribosomal RNA", at positions 14 to 601 of the family's 1533-position model. The record is from RNAcentral.
UGAUCAUGGCUCAGAUUGAACGCUGGCGGCAGGCCUAACACAUGCAAGUCGAACGGUAACAGGAAGAAGCUUGCUUCUUUGCUGACGAGUGGCGGACGGGUGAGUAAUGUCUGGGAAACUGCCUGAUGGAGGGGGAUAACUACUGGAAACGGUAGCUAAUACCGCAUAACGUCGCAAGACCAAAGAGGGGAACCUUCGGGCCUCUUGCCAUCGGAUGUGCCCAGAUGGGAUUAGCUAGUAGGUGGGGUAACGGCUCACCUAGGCGACGAUCCCUAGCUGGUCUGAGAGGAUGACCAGCCACACUGGAACUGAGACACGGUCCAGACUCCUACGGGAGGCAGCAGUGGGGAAUAUUGCACAAUGGGCGCAAGCCUGAUGCAGCCAUGCCGCGUGUAUGAAGAAGGCCUUCGGGUUGUAAAGUACUUUCAGCGGGGAGGAAGGGAGUAAAGUUAAUACCUUUGCUCAUUGACGUUACCCGCAGAAGAAGCACCGGCUAACUCCGUGCCAGCAGCCGCGGUAAUACGGAGGGUGCAAGCGUUAAUCGGAAUUACUGGGCGUAAAGCGCACGCAGGCGGUUUGUUAAGUCAGAUGUGAAAUC